This is a non-coding RNA of Atopostipes suicloacalis DSM 15692, 125 nucleotides long. The record is from Rfam. Lineage: Bacteria; Bacillati; Bacillota; Bacilli; Lactobacillales; Carnobacteriaceae.
AUUCGUCUUCAGGGGCAGGGUGUAAAUCCCGACCGGUGGUAAAGUCCACGACCUGUAUUUAAACGUACAGCUGAACUGGUGUAAAUCCAGUACCGACAGUAUAGUCUGGAAUGAAGAAGAUGGAG